This 75-nucleotide transfer RNA is filed under the name Desulfitibacter sp. BRH_c19. Its description in RNAcentral is "tRNA-Thr". It matches the Rfam family "tRNA". From Rfam's summary of the family: Transfer RNA (tRNA) molecules are approximately 80 nucleotides in length. Lineage: Bacteria; Bacillati; Bacillota; Clostridia; Neomoorellales; Desulfitibacteraceae. The record is from RNAcentral.
GCCGACGUAGCUCAACGGUAGAGCAGCUGACUUGUAAUCAGCAGGUUGCGGGUUCAAUUCCCAUCGUCGGCUCCA